Molecule: ribosomal RNA, 484 nt
Filed under: uncultured bacterium
Lineage: Bacteria
Description: partial 16S ribosomal RNA
Rfam family: Bacterial small subunit ribosomal RNA
Source: RNAcentral
AUUGAACGCUGGCGGCAGGCCUAACACAUGCAAGUCGAGCGGAUGAAGGGAGCUUGCUCCUGGAUUCAGCGGCGGACGGGUGGGUAAUUCCUAGGAAUCUGCCUGGUCGUGGGGGCUAACGUCCGGAAACGGGCGCUAAUACCGCAUACGUCCUGAGGGAGAACGUGGGGGAUCUUCGGACCUCACGCUAUCAGAUGAGCCUAGGUCGGAUUAGCUAGUUGGUGGGGUAAAGGCCUACCAAGGCGACGAUCCGUAACUGGUCUGAGAGGAUGAUCAGUCACACUGGAACUGAGACACGGUCCAGACUCCUACGGGAGGCAGCAGUGGGGAAUAUUGGACAAUGGGCGAAAGCCUGAUCCAGCCAUGCCGCGUGUGUGAAGAAGGUCUUCGGAUUGUAAAGCACUUUAAGUUGGGAGGAAGGGCAGUAAGUUAAUACCUUGCUGUUUUGACGUUACCAACAGAAUAAGCACCGGCUAACUUCGUG